GACGAACGCUGGCGGCGUGCUUAACACAUGCGAGUCGAACGGAAAGGCCCUGCUUUUGUGGGGUGCUCGAGUGGCGAACGGGUGAGUAACACGUGAGUAACCUGCCCUUGACUUUGGGAUAACUUCAGGAAACUGGGGCUAAUACCGGAUAGGAGCUCCUGCUGCAUGGUGGGGGUUGGAAAGUUUCGGCGGUUGGGGAUGGACUCGCGGCUUAUCAGCUUGUUGGUGGGGUAGUGGCUUACCAAGGCUUUGACGGGUAGCCGGCCAGAGAGGGUGACCGGCCACAUUGGGACUGAGAUACGGCCCAGACUCCUACGGGAGGCAGCAGUGGGGAAUAUUGCACAAUGGGCGGAAGCCUGAUGCAGCAACGCCGCGUGCGGGAUGACGGCCUUCGGGUUGUAAACCGCUUUCGCCUGUGACGAAGCGUGAGUGACGGUAAUGGGUAAAGAAGCACCGGCUAACUACGUG
This 468-nucleotide ribosomal RNA is filed under the name uncultured bacterium. RNAcentral describes it as "partial 16S ribosomal RNA". It matches the Rfam family "Bacterial small subunit ribosomal RNA", at positions 28 to 507 of the family's 1533-position model. The record is from RNAcentral.